This 253-nucleotide ribosomal RNA is filed under the name uncultured bacterium. Its description in RNAcentral is "partial 16S ribosomal RNA". It matches the Rfam family "Bacterial small subunit ribosomal RNA", at positions 524 to 776 of the family's 1533-position model. The record is from RNAcentral.
UACGUAGGGGGCUAGCGUUGUCCGGAAUCAUUGGGCGUAAAGAGCGCGUAGGCGGCUAGAUAAGUCCGGUGUGAAAGUCACAGGCUCAACCUGUGAAUGCCGCUGGAAACUGUCUGGCUAGAGUCCGGAAGGGGCGAGUGGAAUUCCCGGUGUAGCGGUGAAAUGCGCAGAUAUCAGGAGGAACGCCAAUGGCGAAGGCAGCUCGCUGGGACGGUACUGACGCUGAGGCGCGAAAGCGUGGGGAGCAAACAGG